RNAcentral lists this ribosomal RNA (439 nucleotides) under uncultured bacterium. Its description in RNAcentral is "partial 16S ribosomal RNA". It matches the Rfam family "Bacterial small subunit ribosomal RNA", at positions 339 to 795 of the family's 1533-position model. The record is from RNAcentral.
CUACGGGAGGCCGCAGUGAGGAAUAUUGCACAAUGGGGGGAACCCUGAUGCAGCAACGCCGCGUGGAGGAUGACGCAUUUCGGUGUGUAAACUCCUUUUAUAUGUCAAGAAAAUGACGGUAGCAUAUGAAUAAGCACCGGCUAACUCCGUGCCAGCAGCCGCGGUAAUACGGAGGGUGCAAGCGUUACUCGGAAUCACUGGGCGUAAGGGACGCGUAGGCGGGUUGGAAAGUCAGGUGUGAAAUCCUACAGCUUAACUGUAGAACUGCACUUGAAACUUCUAAUCUAGAGUAUGGGAGGGGGAGAUGGAAUUAGUGGUGUAGGGGUAAAAUCCGUAGAUAUCACUAGGAAUACCUAAAGCGAAGGCGAUCUCCUGGAACAUUACUGACGCUAAGGCGUGAAAGCGUGGGGAGCAAACAGGAUUAGAUACCCGAGUAGUC